AGUGAACGCUGGCGGUAGGCCUAACGCAUGCAAGUCGAACGGCAGCACAGUAAGAGCUUGCUCUUACGGGUGGCGAGUGGCGGACGGGUGAGGAAUACAUCGGAAUCUACUUUUUCGUGGGGGAUAACGUAGGGAAACUUACGCUAAUACCGCAUACGACCUACGGGUGAAAGCAGGGGAUCUUCGGACCUUGCGCGAUUGAAUGAGCCGAUGUCGGAUUAGCUAGUUGGCGGGGUAAAGGCCCACCAAGGCGACGAUCCGUAGCUGGUCUGAGAGGAUGAUCAGCCACACUGGAACUGCGACACGGUCCAGACUCCUACGGGAGGCAGCAGUGGGGAAUAUUGGACAAUGGGCGCAAGCCUGAUCCAGCCAUACCGCGUGGGUGAAGAAGGCCUUCGGGUUGUAAAGCCCUUUUGUUGGGAAAGAAAAGCAGCAGGUUAAUACCCCGCUGUUCUGACGGUACCCAAAGAAUAAGCACCGGCUAACUUCGUG
This 492-nucleotide ribosomal RNA is filed under the name uncultured bacterium. RNAcentral describes it as "partial 16S ribosomal RNA". It matches the Rfam family "Bacterial small subunit ribosomal RNA", at positions 29 to 507 of the family's 1533-position model. The record is from RNAcentral.